CCUACGGGUCGCAGCAGUGGGGAAUAUUGGACAAUGGGCGAAAGCCUGAUCCAGCCAUGCCGCGUGUGUGAAGAAGGCCUUCGGGUUGUAAAGCACUUUCAGUGGGGAAGAAAGCCUUGGGGCUAAUACCCUCGAGGAAGGACAUCACCCACAGAAGAAGCACCGGCUAACUCCGUGCCAGCAGCCGCGGUAAUACGGAGGGUGCGAGCGUUAAUCGGAAUUACUGGGCGUAAAGCGCGCGUAGGCGGUCUGAUAAGCCGGUUGUGAAAGCCCCGGGCUCAACCUGGGAACGGCAUCCGGAACUGUCAGGCUAGAGUGCAGGAGAGGAAGGUAGAAUUCCCGGUGUAGCGGUGAAAUGCGUAGAGAUCGGGAGGAAUACCAGUGGCGAAGGCGGCCUUCUGGACUGACACUGACGCUGAGGUGCGAAAGCGUGGGUAGCAAACAGGAUUAGAUACCCCUGUAGUC
Molecule: ribosomal RNA, 465 nt
Filed under: Vreelandella stevensii
Lineage: Bacteria; Pseudomonadati; Pseudomonadota; Gammaproteobacteria; Oceanospirillales; Halomonadaceae
Description: partial 16S ribosomal RNA
Rfam family: Bacterial small subunit ribosomal RNA
Source: RNAcentral